Molecule: ribosomal RNA, 474 nt
Filed under: uncultured bacterium
Lineage: Bacteria
Description: bacterial SSU rRNA
Rfam family: Bacterial small subunit ribosomal RNA
Source: RNAcentral
ACUCCUACGGGAGGCAGCAGUAGGGAAUCUUCCACAAUGGGCGCAAGCCUGAUGGAGCAACACCGCGUGAGUGAAGAAGGGUUUCGGCUCGUAAAGCUCUGUUGUUAAAGAAGAACACGUAUGAGAGUAACUGUUCAUACGUUGACGAUAUUUAACCAGAAAGUCACGGCUAACUACGUGCCAGCAGCCGCGGUAAUACGGAGGGUGCGAGCGUUAAUCGGAAUUACUGGGCGUAAAGCGCAUGCAGGUGGUUUUGUUAAGUUCAGAUGUGAAAGCCCGGGGGCUCAACCUCGGAAUAGCAUUUGAAACUGGCAGACUAGAGUACUGUAGAGGGGGUAGAAUUUCAGGUGUAGCGGUGAAAUGUGUAGAGAUCUGAAGGAAUACCGGUGGCGAAGGCGGCCCCCUGGACAGAUACUGACACUCAGAUGCGAAAGCUGGGGAGCAAACAGGAUUAGAUACCCUGGUAGGAUAGCG